This is a long non-coding RNA of Pistacia vera, 212 nucleotides long. RefSeq lists it as uncharacterized. Lineage: Eukaryota; Viridiplantae; Streptophyta; Magnoliopsida; Sapindales; Anacardiaceae. The record is from RefSeq and is a predicted model, not a curated record. The transcript is spliced from 3 exons.
CAGUGCCGAGAAAUGACAAAGGAAGGGUUGUUAAUUGCCAAAAAUGUACAACAAAGCGGUUUGUGCAUCCCAUGCAUAACAAAUUGGUAUCCUAAGAUGUCAGAGGAUGAAAUUGCUUCUUCUUGUCCAGUUUGUCUGGGUAAUUGCAAUUGCAAAACAUGCUUACGCAUGGAGGGAGUGAUAACAGAUGACCUGAAGAAAUUGAAGAAAGA